AUGGUGGGCGGCGGAGGCCCCGUCGCAGCCACCCUAGCGGCUCAGCCCGGGCGCCGCUCCCUGAUAGGCCGCUCCACGCCCCGCCCCUUGCUUCCCGCCGCUCCCAUUGGCCACACCGCCAGCCAGCGCUGCUCUGAUUGGCUGCCGAGGCGUCGCUCCCGCUCUGCCCGCAGCGGAGCUAUUUUCCAGGCGGCGGCGGCGGCGGGGGAGGGGAGGGGAGCGGAGGAGCGGAGCGGAGGGGCCCGGCCCGGCCCGGCCCCGCGGAGCGCCCGGCGGCUGCGGGACAUGGCGGGGGCACGGCGCGGGGCUCAGCACCGCGGAAUUUUGGAUCUCAUGAAGAGAAGGGAAGUGGAUGGCAGCUGUACAGUGUUUUAUAAUCUAACACGUGAACACAUGCAGUCCUGACACUGUCUUUUUGAACCCCAAAGCCUAACAAGGGGAUACAAGGACUUAUCCCUCCCACCAUUGAAAAAAUCUCAAAGCAGGAUUUCUGAACUGAAGUUACCACGUGUGUAGCUGCUUGGAAAGAAAGUGGCAGAACAUCAGCUAUGCAAGCUGAGAGUGCUUUUUGCUCAUUGUGAACCUGCACCAAGGAGGGGGAGGAUAUUACUGCUUACUUUCAGGUUGAAACAAUGGCAAAUACCAUAAUUUUUCUUUCACUUGACACUCUGCCAACUUAAGUCCUUGAAAGUUGUAGCUUUCAGUGUGCUUUAGGGGGCUGCAUCAAGCCGACUUCGUGUUUUGUGUUCCAAAUAAACCUGGUCAGUGGCUGAACUUUCAACCUGAGUGUUCAGAGAAGUAGCUCACAUACAGUCCUCAUCUUUGCAAGCAGAGGCCCAUGUCUGAUGAAGAUACAGGCUUCAGGUGAAACUUCUUUUCAAAGUACCUAUCAUCUAGUGGGGGCAGAAUGAACCAGAGCAGCUGUGGAAGGAAGCAGACUUGCCCUGGCUGUUACUUCCCCUCUCCUCAUCCGCACCUCCCUUGCAUUAACAACUGAUACAAUAAAGAAGUCAAAAAAAAAUAAUAAAAAAAUGGCAUCAAUGAUUGAGACUUUUUUCUGAUAAUUAGUUUUAGUCUGGAUCAGUUCCCUGAGCUGGCUGACUGAGCAGCUGCACGGUGUACAGACCAUGUCCUGUACCGGCACGUGUGGCCAGGAGGGGGCUGCUGCCAUUUCUUCUGGUUGCAGUGCUGCCUUGGUGUGGUGUUGGAAUUGUAGCUUGAUAUCCUUUACCUUUUUGGGUGUAGUGGCUGUCUCUGGUCCGGGAAUUUGGACCUUCAGAUCAUUCUCCCAACACCACUGAGCUUUGAACUAACCAGAGCCUGCAGCUAACUUAUUCCUUCUUUUUUUAAGAAACGUUCCUAGGAUUUCAGCAGCAAUUCAUUAUUUCUGAAAUGUGCAUUGGAAGGGAGGAAAUUGCUUCGUGAUCCUUAGCAUUGCCUUUUCUCCCUUCCUCAAGUGGGUUCCUUCAGAUGGUAGGAGCUGGCCAGCCCUCCUCAUUUUGGCCGAGUAAGGCUGGGGAGUGCUGCUGUGAGCAGCCCUGUCCCUGUGGCUGGGGGAGCAUAGCCCAUAGCAGGUGCUGGGCAGUAUGAGAAUAGGGCACUAACCACCUCAGCAAGCGUGCCGUGGUGCAGGAGGGCAACGUCUUCUUUAAUGGGGCCUCCCAUCCUUGUGGGGUGAAUUUUGACUCGUAGGAGUUGUCUGUCUCUGUUCUCUUCCAAUGUUUUAUGUUCUGAAACUGUUAUAAGGUGAAAAUAGCAAACCAGAGAAUUUUGUAGGCUCUUGUUUUUGAAAUAAGCACCUUUUUAAGGUGUCCUACAUCAUAUUGUGUUAUGACUUCUGUGAAGAUGGUACAUUUUUAGGAGUUACUUAGAAUGUAACUUACUGUAUCAUCUAUUUUUCAAAUGAAGUACCGCUGUGAGAUUGAGACAAGCACAUUGCCUCUAGGACACAGCCCAGCUGGCACGCAGGGUGGCCCCAGCUCUAGCUGGAUGCUGCGACACUUCUGGGAAGAACAGCCCGAGUUUUCACGGUAACCUGUUGGUAUGAGGCACUUAAGUGCUAUUAAACUAAUGGCUUGCCUACCUUUUUUUUUAGUUUCAUCAUUUAUCCACUCGAAAUAGUUGGAUACAGUGCUCCUACAAACUUCCUGGCUUUGGAUGUGUCUCUGAACUGGUUGCAAGAGGGGAUAUAGUGUCACUGCAUCUGUAAUCCCUUCUGAGUGCUUACUACCCGUUAUUUUUAAGAUAACUUAAGCCAGUUUAAGGGAGACAAAUUAUUUUCAGUUGGAAGGGGAUUGUUGUGGAAAUGUUAGUAUAACUUUUUCUGAGAAAAUUUACAAAGUGAUGAAUUCACUUUGUGGAUUUUGAUGGGAUUAGGUUUAUUUUUUGUUCAGGCUAAAAUAACCUUUUCCAAAGAUAACUUUUCUCAGGCAGUGCUCCUUUGGAAAACCAGGAUGGCUUUAGGGCCAGUUCAGAAAUAAUUUGUAUUUUGUCGACCUUAGCGCUGCCACAAGAAACCCGUGAAACCGCGAGCCUGUUGCGUGUUGAUUUAAACCAGUUUGAAAUUACUAGAUGGAAUACCAAAUACCUUCAGAAUGACUCAAGUUGCAUUCUAACACAUGAUUGAGAGGUUUAACCGAGACAGUCACCCAAAUUCAGGAAGCUGUUUUCCAUUAGCAAAGGAUGGCUCCUGAAGCAACCAGUGCCUCGUGCAGGCGGCGCCUGGAGCAGGCCGCUCCGGCUGGCACCGAGCAAUGGCAGCGGCACAAGGGCUUAAACUAGGAACUGUACGUACAGCAUGAAACUUCAAGAUAGCUUCCCUGUACUUUUAAGGUUUUUAACGAGUUAAGAGGUCAGCGUGCGUCCCCCCGUGCCACGGGUGCUCAGUAAAAUGGCUUUGCUUGGAAUGUGGGUAUGCUCUGCUAGGCCUGGCUGACGCCACGAUUUAGCUAAGGCUUUGCUGAGAACUGUACGGCCCGUAUUGUAGGGCCUUACUUCUGUUUGCUCUUUUAAGGCCUUGCUCUGAAUCAGCUGUACUAGUUUGUAGUGGCUGAGCUAUUGUAGACUUGCUGAAAAAAUACAGGGGGUGGGAGGGGAAUGUGUAUGAACUUCAUUGUUGCGAAAAGAACUUCACCUUUGGCUUAAUCUUAGCUUUGUACUAGUAACUCUGCUCUCUGGAAAGCUUAUUUUUAUGGAUUUUUUUUUUUUUUUGACAGGACUCACCAGCCUAAUUUCAAAAGGGUUUAAUCAAUUUUAGUGCUUCCAUAGGUGAAUGGAAGCUUGGUAUGUUUGGUACUGUUCUGACAUUACUCUGAAGUUUCUGCCGAGGAGCGUUAACUUCUGAUAUCCAUGGAGUAAUGAUCAAGCCUGUAGUUUUUAUUUCAGUAAAUAUGUCAUGUUCAAGUAUGCUAAUACUUAAAUGCAGAAUGGAGAGAAGAAUAACUCGUCAGUGUGUUGUUAACUCUUCCUGCUGUCCUAGGCUUGGUUCUGGUGUGCAGAAGCAAACCAUUCUCUCUGUCCUGUUCCUGCUAGACUUGACAGUGGCAUGAGCAUACUGUGCUAAAAUCCUCUAAUGCCUCUUGGAUUUCUGAAAAACAAUACGAUCAUUAUUUUAGGGAAGCGCUGACCUACUCUUUUACUAAAGAACUUGCCUUGCAUUCCACGUACUUUCCCCUUUUUAGAAUCACGGUUCGUAUUCCUCUUGCUUCACAAUCACGUAACAUCCUUGUGGCAAGUAUAGCAGUUGCUUACCUGGAAAAGUAAUAUUAGAAAAGUGUAUUUUUAGCUGCCUUUUGAUGUGAUGUAGCAGCUGGAAACAAGGAGGGGAGGCAGUAUGCGGGGAUCUGACAGCACUGCCAGCCACAACAUAGGAACCACUGCUUUGGACUUGAAACCAAAAUGUGGGGAAACCAUUUUUACAGGCCUGAGUGCAGUGAUCCAGAUGUUAUGACUUUGUUUUUAUUUCUUAAGCUUUGUUUGAGGGUCCUCCCCAGGCUUCUAUCUGACAAACGUGGUUAAUGGAUGGAAAAAGUUCUGUGAAGCCUUUUAUUGGCACUUAUAUACAUAUUUAUGCUUUAUUAUAAGCAGGCAGUUCAUGCACACAUGGAAGGCAUAAUUAGUGAAAUGUCCCUUUAAUACAUUGACAGAUUGUAAGUAUCAAGUUGAAAAGUUACUCAAACAACUAACAAAAAU
Molecule: long non-coding RNA, 4191 nt
Filed under: Anas zonorhyncha (Eastern spot-billed duck)
Lineage: Eukaryota; Metazoa; Chordata; Aves; Anseriformes; Anatidae
Description: lncRNA (ENSAZOG00000008899.1)
Source: RNAcentral